GGGCCUGUAGCUCAGACGGUUAGAGCAACCGACUCAUAAUCGGUGGGUCGUGGGUUCGAUGCCCACCGGGCCCC
This 74-nucleotide transfer RNA is filed under the name Brevinema andersonii. It matches the Rfam family "tRNA". Rfam says of the family: Transfer RNA (tRNA) molecules are approximately 80 nucleotides in length. Their secondary structure includes four short double-helical elements and three loops (D, anti-codon, and T loops). The record is from Rfam by way of RNAcentral. Lineage: Bacteria; Pseudomonadati; Spirochaetota; Spirochaetia; Brevinematales; Brevinemataceae.